RNAcentral lists this small RNA (28 nucleotides) under Bombyx mori (domestic silkworm). RNAcentral describes it as "ovarian small RNA-25139". Lineage: Eukaryota; Metazoa; Arthropoda; Insecta; Lepidoptera; Bombycidae. The record is from RNAcentral.
UCACCGAAGCAACCAUGCCUAGUGUGUA